Maniola jurtina (meadow brown) is the source of this 85-nucleotide long non-coding RNA. RefSeq lists it as uncharacterized. Lineage: Eukaryota; Metazoa; Arthropoda; Insecta; Lepidoptera; Nymphalidae. The record is from RefSeq and is a predicted model, not a curated record. The transcript is spliced from 3 exons.
GGAACUACGAUUACAAGUAUUUUAAGGUCUACAUUUCCUGAGGAUCCGCCGGUGUCGGGGCGAAACGUGCGUGGAGUGGUUUUGG